GCUUGCACCUGAUUGAUUUUGGUCGCCAACGAGUGGCGGACGGGUGAGUAACACGUAGGUAACCUGCCCAGAAGCGGGGGACAACAUUUGGAAACAGAUGCUAAUACCGCAUAACAACGUUGUUCGCAUGAACAACGCUUAAAAGAUGGCUUCUCGCUAUCACUUCUGGAUGGACCUGCGGUGCAUUAGCUUGUUGGUGGGGUAAUGGCCUACCAAGGCGAUGAUGCAUAGCCGAGUUGAGAGACUGAUCGGCCACAAUGGGACUGAGACACGGCCCAUACUCCUACGGGAGGCAGCAGUAGGGAAUCUUCCACAAUGGGCGCAAGCCUGAUGGAGCAACACCGCGUGAGUGAAGAAGGGUUUCGGCUCGUAAAGCUCUGUUGUUAAAGAAGAACACGUAUGAGAGUAACUGUUCAUACGUUGACGGUAUUUAACCAGAAAGUCACGGCUAACUACGUGCCAGCAGCCGCGGUAAUACGUAGGUGGCAAGCGUUAUCCGGAUUUAUUGGGCGUAAAGAGAGUGCAGGCGGUUUUCUAAGUCUGAUGUGAAAGCCUUCGGCUUAACCGGAGAAGUGCAUCGGAAACUGGAUAACUUGAGUGCAGAAGAGGGUAGUGGAACUCCAUGUGUAGCGGUGGAAUGCGUAGAUAUAUGGAAGAACACCAGUGGCGAAGGCGGCUACCUGGUCUGCAACUGACGCUGAGACUCGAAAGCAUGGGUAGCGAACAGGAUUAGAUACCCCUGGUAGUCCAUGCCGUAAACGAUGAGUGCUAUGUGUUUGGAGGGUUUCCGCCCCUCAGUGACGGAGCUAACGCAUUA
RNAcentral lists this ribosomal RNA (817 nucleotides) under Limosilactobacillus fermentum. RNAcentral's name for it is "bacterial SSU rRNA". It matches the Rfam family "Bacterial small subunit ribosomal RNA", at positions 66 to 862 of the family's 1533-position model. Lineage: Bacteria; Bacillati; Bacillota; Bacilli; Lactobacillales; Lactobacillaceae. The record is from RNAcentral.